GACGAACGCUGGCGGCGUGCUUAACACAUGCAAGUCGAACGGAAAGGCCCUGCUUUUGUGGGGUGCUCGAGUGGCGAACGGGUGAGUAACACGUGAGUAACCUGCCCUUGACUUUGGGAUAACUUCAGGAAACUGGGGCUAAUACCGGAUAGGAGCUCCUGCUGCAUGGUGGGGGUUGGAAAGUUUCGGCGGUUGGGGAUGGACUCGCGGCUUAUCAGCUUGUUGGUGGGGUAGUGGCUUACCAAGGCUUUGACGGGUAGCCGGCCUGAGAGGGUGACCGGCCACAUUGGGACUGAGAUACGGCCCAGACUCCUACGGGAGGCAGCAGUGGGGAAUAUUGCACAAUGGGCGGAAGCCGGAUGCAGCAACGCCGCGUGCGGGAUGACGGCCUUCGGGUUGUAAACCGCUUUCGCCUGUGACGAAGCGUGAGUAACGGUAAUGGGUAAAGAAGCACCGGCUAACUACGU
RNAcentral lists this ribosomal RNA (467 nucleotides) under uncultured bacterium. RNAcentral describes it as "partial 16S ribosomal RNA". It matches the Rfam family "Bacterial small subunit ribosomal RNA", at positions 28 to 506 of the family's 1533-position model. The record is from RNAcentral.